This 269-nucleotide ribosomal RNA is filed under the name uncultured prokaryote. RNAcentral describes it as "partial 16S ribosomal RNA". It matches the Rfam family "Bacterial small subunit ribosomal RNA", at positions 524 to 792 of the family's 1533-position model. The record is from RNAcentral.
UACGUAGGGUGCGAGCGUUGUCCGGAAUUACUGGGCGUAAAGGGAGCGUAGGCGGACAUUUAAGUCAGUGGUGAAAUCCCGGGGCUCAACCUCGGAAUUGCCUUUGAUACUGGGUGUCUUGAGUAUGAGAGAGGUGUGUGGAACUCCGAGUGUAGAGGUGAAAUUCGUAGAUAUUCGGAAGAACACCAGUGGCGAAGGCGACACACUGGCUCAUUACUGACGCUGAGGCUCGAAAGCGUGGGGAGCAAACAGGAUUAGAUACCCCCGUA